Galeopterus variegatus (Sunda flying lemur) is the source of this 639-nucleotide long non-coding RNA. RefSeq lists it as uncharacterized. The transcript has 3 exons. Lineage: Eukaryota; Metazoa; Chordata; Mammalia; Dermoptera; Cynocephalidae. The record is from RefSeq and is a predicted model, not a curated record.
CUGCAGAUAGUACAGCUGCCACAGGAGCAGGGAUGCCUGAGCACAAGUGGCUGAGUUCCGAGUGACUUUAUGAAGCACUUUUCGACCUUUUUCCAGCAUGAAAACAGGAAUUCUGCACCUGCAUCAAGGACAGUCUGGCAGAAGCCUCUGCUCUACCUCUGGAGACCAGGAACUACGGCAAAUAACCAUUUCGAAAUUGGAUCUUGGCAAAAUUGCCAACAAAUCUAUGAAGAAAACUGAAAGCAGUUUGAGUUCCAUCUUCAAUGACAAUUCCACAAAAGUUGAAGAAACAUAUAAUGUCUUCCAAAGAUGAGUAGUGAGCUUGGUUAGUUGGACUCUAAAAUUAGAACAUGAUUAAGGGUGGUGCAAAGAAAACACGAAGAAGUUCCUCAGCACCCACGCCACUGCCACCCACGUCCUUACAGCAGCAGCAGCAGCAACACCACAGAAAAUAUUUGAUCCUUACAUCUUCUGUUAGAUUUCCUGGGCCGAUUGGGAUAGAAACUCCAGGUGAUUUUAUCCUUCUGCUUCUCUGGGUGAAAACUCAUUCAAAUAAUAUUGCCUCUUGCUAUGGAAUUUGCUAAGGAAGGAAAAAAUAUAUAUAAACAACCAUGUAACUCUCAGAACACUUACGAUAUA